RNAcentral lists this long non-coding RNA (2220 nucleotides) under Mytilus galloprovincialis (Mediterranean mussel). The record is from RNAcentral. Lineage: Eukaryota; Metazoa; Mollusca; Bivalvia; Mytilida; Mytilidae.
AUAAAGUUUGCAUGUGGUGACUGAAAAAUUCAAAAUUUGGUAUAGUUAGUUAUAAUUAUGAACACAAAAUUAAUUCAAUAAGAGGGAUUGCAUUUUAAAAAUAUCUGUUACACAAAAUAUGUUGCAUUAUGAACAUAUCAGGUACAAAAAUAUGAUUUUUAUGGACUUGUAUUCUUUAUUGAGUAGAUGUUUAACAGUUAUAUAUGAUAGAUGGAUAAUGGUAUAUUUUCUAGUUGAUAAUGUGUGUGAUAAUUCAGGUAUACUUAGACUGAAGAUUUUGAAAAUUUUAUACAAGACACACAGGAAUAGGUUGACAUACAUUUAGAAGUUUAAUAAUAAUUAGAGUAAAAAAAAUUCAUGCAUGAUGAUAGAAAGAAACAUUUGGUAUUUAGAAGAAUACAGUGGAACUUGCCUAAUCUGACACACUGGGGGACUAGAAAAAAAUAUAAGAUUAAGCAGGGUGUCCAAAUACUCAGGUUUUUCUGCAAGGGUAGGCGUAUUUUAGGACCAUGAAAAUGUGUCGGUUAAAGCAGGAUGUUAGAAUACUCAGGUGUCAGAUUAGGCAGGUAACACUGUAAUUCUGGAGUAAAAAGACAUAUUUAAGAUACAAAAUUGUACAUUUUUAAGUGAUGUACAAUAACUCAGGAUUGCAUCUACUAAUAUAAUUAAACUGCUCACACAAACUUACAUAUCUUCAUUGUAUGGCUUCUUUUGUAUAUGAAUCAUUGAUGGUCUUGGUUUUUGCAGGUCACUAAAUGCUGACAAAUUGUCAUCUUCAGUUGUUUUAUUACAACAGAAAUUAAAUCUUUCUUCAGAAUCAGUUUGAAACAAUCAAUAAAUGAUUAUUUUUUUACAAGGAAUAUUUAAAAAUACCUAUUGAAUGAACUCCACAGGGAUUUAUACAAUCUUAAAAAAUCAAUGGACAGUUUAUGUGGUAGAGAGGUUUUGUAUUUGAAAUCAUACCACAUUUUAUUUCUAGAGGAGUAACCACCAAAUGUUUGUGGGGAAACUAUUCACUUUCUUUGCAUUUUGAUUAAUACUUAUGUCAUGUUUUACAUAAAAGUGUUGAAUUUGAUGUUAGAAAAAGCUGUCACUCUCCUUACUGAAGAUUUUUUCAGUAAAUAUUCUUUAAUAAUUUAUAUUAACUUAUUUAAUGCUUUUUGCUCUUAUCUAUACAAUUAUCUGUAACUGUAGUUUAUAUAUAUGCUGCUUCUCUAUUCUCAAUUUGCCCAAAAAUAAAAAGGAAUAGAAGAAAGGGGGGUUCAUGCCCUAAGCCACUUUAUACAUGUAUUGCUUCAUUGUAACUUUAUUUUGUUUGUACUUCCUUGCAUCCACUGUCAUGAAAGUUAUAGAGCUGAAUGGUGUUAUUUCCAUUUUUACUCAGACUUCAGUAUAAUUGUGUAAUUUUUUAGUUUUAUAAAAAUGGAUAAUUACCACGUGAACCACUAUUUUCAUUUACUAGGAAGAACUUGUUCCGAGCAUUCCUUAUUUUGAUUGGCUAAUUUGUUACCUGGAUACAAGGCGCUUUUAUAUAUUUCCUUGUUUCGGUAUUCGCAUUUCAUUUGAAAUUUAUCAUUGAAAUUGUAUCCUGUGAUAUAUAAAGUAUACACAGCAUAUUGUAAAAAUGCUUGAAAUUUGCUUUGAUUCACGCGUUAUCACAUGACUCUGUAUCAGGUAUAAACGAUAUCAUUGAUGAUAUGAAUAUGAUAUGAAUAUUGGUUAUAGAUUAUUGUAAAUACAGAAGUUAUUGCCUGCAUUUAUCAUUUGGACUUUGUCAUUUUGGGCUAAAAUGCGAUAUUAUUUUUUGCGAUAUUCAGAAAUAUUCUGUUUGAUUCAUAUAAAAAAAAAAUCAAAUUGUGAGUUAUAAUUAUGUAUUGCGAUUAUAACCCUGUCACAUUUUUUGCAAUAAUAAGAACAUUGCAAUAAUUUCUGAAUUUACACUAUUGGUUAUAGAUUAUAAGUAUAUCAUGGCUGAACUGUCUGUUAGUUUGACACUAACAAAUGAAGGAUAAGUAACAUAUGAUAGUUUUAAGUAGGUGGAAAAUUUUGUAUGAUGUUGAAAGGUUAAUAUAAGAUGAAAAUGUUUUAAUUGAAAAUAAAUUGUUAGAUUUCAUGUAUUGUUAUGAAUACAAAUAAUGUCAAAGCAUGAUAUAUCAUGUAAAAUUUUUAUGCUAGAGAUUACAUUUAUAUUCAUAUAUGAGAAUUGUUGAAAAUAAAAAU